Molecule: long non-coding RNA, 726 nt
Organism: Dermochelys coriacea (leatherback sea turtle)
Lineage: Eukaryota; Metazoa; Chordata; Testudines; Dermochelyidae
Exons: 4
Source: RefSeq, a predicted model, not a curated record
AAUAAAUCUGUUAGUCUUUAAGGGGCCACCGGACUCCUUGUUGUUUUUGUGGAUACAGACUGACACAGUUCCCCCCUGAUGCUUCAGGUCAUUUUGAACUCUCACCCUGUGCUCCGAAGUGCUGGCAACCCUGUCCCAGCUUGGUGCCAUCUGCAAAUUUUAUCCGCGCUCUUCCCUCCAUUAUCCAAGCCAUUGAUGAAAAUCCUGAAUAGUAUCAGACUCAGGACUGACCCCCAUGAGACUUCAUUAGAUAACCCCCCCGGUUUGAGAGCGAACGAUGGGUAACUACUCGUAAACAAGUGAUGAUUCAGCAGAAAGGCUUGAGGGCAAAGGCACCUAGAGCCAAGCCGGGGAACAGUAGCCGCAUUCUGUUCGGGGCGUCAGUGGGACAGGGAGCCUGAACUGCAGGGACAAGAAGGGCCGGGACUGCAUUGAGCAAGACCUCCAAACACAAGGUGCUUCUGUCUCGCGUUGGCGGGGAUGCCAAGCCGCUCCCAGGCAAAAAUAAAAUCGAUGGAGUCUUCCAGGUAAUUGGGGCCUACCACCUGCCAGAAGAUGAGAGAAAGGAUGGCUUUGUGGUUAACACCUCCUGUGGGAGAUCUGGUUUCAAUCCCCAGCUCUGUAACAGACCCCAAGGUGGGCAAAGAGAGAUGAUGUAACCUCCUUAUGUUUGCAUGGCGAACCAUCUGCAGAGUUGGGAGUAGAACCCAGGAAUCCUGGCUCCUA